RNAcentral lists this long non-coding RNA (318 nucleotides) under Gossypium barbadense (sea-island cotton). RNAcentral describes it as "long non-coding RNA (GBAR_LNC021590)". Lineage: Eukaryota; Viridiplantae; Streptophyta; Magnoliopsida; Malvales; Malvaceae. The record is from RNAcentral.
GCGAUUAAGCCCUUUUAUUAAAUCGGACACUUAAACAAUGAAAUUAAAACACGAAAAUUUCACACAAUCAAAUGCACACAAAAUAAACACACAAAAUAAUAUUAAAAUAUUUUUUUGACUCGGACUUGUGGUCCCGAAACCACUAUGUCCGAUUAGAGUCAAAACCGGGUUGUUACACUUCUUCACAUCCGUUGUCAUCCCCUUCCAAUAUAAUAUACUCGAAAUUCUCUUUCUAGUAGCAUGCACCCCCGAAUGUCCCCCAAUGGAGCUGGAAUGAAAGUGAAGGAACAGUUUCUUGCGCAAUUCAGUAGCUUUACC